RNAcentral lists this ribosomal RNA (252 nucleotides) under uncultured prokaryote. RNAcentral's name for it is "partial 16S ribosomal RNA". It matches the Rfam family "Bacterial small subunit ribosomal RNA", at positions 524 to 775 of the family's 1533-position model. The record is from RNAcentral.
UACGUAGGUGGCAAGCGUUGUCCGGAAUUAUUGGGCGUAAAGCGCGCGCAGGCGGUCCUUUAAGUCUGAUGUGAAAGCCCACGGCUCAACCGUGGAGGGUCAUUGGAAACUGGGGGACUUGAGUACAGAAGAGAAGAGUGGAAUUCCACGUGUAGCGGUGAAAUGCGUAGAGAUGUGGAGGAACACCAGUGGCGAAGGCGACUCUUUGGUCUGUAACUGACGCUGAGGCGCGAAAGCGUGGGGAGCAAACAG